Molecule: long non-coding RNA, 619 nt
Filed under: Gallus gallus (chicken)
Lineage: Eukaryota; Metazoa; Chordata; Aves; Galliformes; Phasianidae
Description: long non-coding RNA NONGGAT003802
Source: RNAcentral
AAAAGAAAAGUGCUCUCUUGGCUGAGCUCUUUGGAGCCAUCAGAACCCAUCCCUGCCCUGAGGGACUUCACCUGAGGACAGACGAAGAACCAGAAGGAGCAAAAUCCUCUACCCUGCUGGUGGAAUGACGUGAUCCUUGGGUGCAGCCUCACUUGGGACUUCUGUUAUUCUUUGCACUGUGAGAAUAUAUUGAGCAACACCACAGCAGCAGGUGAUGAGAAGUGCCUUGCAGUGACUAACGCAGCUUUGUGCACUGGAUUUUACAAGCUCUCCUGUAUCUCGGCAUGUUUGUUUGAAGAAGCUAAUUAAAUUACUGCAACAAGGUACAGAACAGUUUGUUGUUUGUUUGGACAGUUUGGAACUUCCUGCUCACAACAGAGACUGGAUAUGGCACAAUUCAGGAGCACUGCUCAGACCACCAAGUUUUCCUUGAUCAAACAGAUCAGUUUCCACGUCUUGUGUUCUAUGCAGCAUUCAGGCUUCAGCAUCAUAAGCUGUCAGUUCCACUAAUUCAUGGUAUCUUCCUCAAGGCUUAGUGCCACCCCUCCACAUUCUUCAGCUCCAUUAUUUGUACUGGCAGGGCAUUACUGCUUACAACAAAAUAUGUGCACAAUACGGC